AUGUCAUCUCUCACAUGGCUAUGUGGUCUCCCCGGUUUUGUCUUUACAUUAUAUCUAUGUUGUACUACUGCUACCUCCCGCGCUACAGAAAGUAUUUUUUAUAUCAGCUUUGCUCUCGUGUGUGCAAGGAUUCCAUUCAGGCGUUCAAGACCUAGCAGGGCUUGGCCAACCGGCCCUUCGUGUUUGAAGAUCCCUGACACCCCAUGCUACCAGCCGGGCAUCUUCUUCCUGAGCCAUGUCCGGAACCAGACCAGCAGGGGCACCAUGAGCGAGUACUCAAGGCAUGUCGUCAGGUCGGAGGGGUACAACCAGGCCAGCUGCCGUGUGUGUCCACGGUUCAUACAGUCAAGGUGUUCGCUCAUCUCCCAAGAUGAGCCAGAACGAGCAUUACAAGAUGAACCCCCCAUAUUUUCCAUUCCUUGA
RNAcentral lists this ribosomal RNA (423 nucleotides) under Triticum aestivum (bread wheat). Its description in RNAcentral is "partial small subunit ribosomal RNA". Lineage: Eukaryota; Viridiplantae; Streptophyta; Magnoliopsida; Poales; Poaceae. The record is from RNAcentral.